RNAcentral lists this small nuclear RNA (104 nucleotides) under Sciurus vulgaris (Eurasian red squirrel). The record is from RNAcentral. Lineage: Eukaryota; Metazoa; Chordata; Mammalia; Rodentia; Sciuridae.
CUGCUUGUUUCAGUAGCACACAUUAAAUUGGAAUAAAACACAGCAGAUUAGCAUGGUCCCUAUGCAAAGAUGAAACACAAAUUAACGAAGCAUUCCAUAUUUUU